This 518-nucleotide long non-coding RNA is filed under the name Homo sapiens (human). Its description in RNAcentral is "HSALNT0407209". The record is from RNAcentral. Lineage: Eukaryota; Metazoa; Chordata; Mammalia; Primates; Hominidae.
GCUACCGGACGUCACUGUUCUAGCGUUGCUGGUCCCUUCGUCUCCACUAGGGGUCCUCACCUCAGUAUCUAGCAGCCUGGGACGAAUAUGCGUGCUGACCCAAAUCCGCCAGCCUCCAAACAAUACCCCCACCUCCCUCAGCCCCCACUGUGGAAAUCUAAGCGUGCCAAACAGGCCACCCCUGCCUGGGCCUCACAGGCCUGACAGCAGCGGCAGGGCUCUGUGAAUGUGCCUUUUUUGGGGAGAGGUCUUCUCAUCCGCCCUCAGAGUCCUCACCUUGAUUCCCGUGAAAGCCAAGACUCUCUCUCUGCACAACUGGGGUCACCCUCUUCAGACAAAGGCCCUUCCUUCCCCGAGACUAUACAGGGUCCUCACCAUGACACCUGGCCAGUCUUGGGGCACUCCAUCCUCCACUGACCUGAGGCUGUUCCCAUCAGAUCAAGGGAAGAGACUGUCCAGGAUGAUUUUGGGAGCUUCUGAUCUUUUGAGAUUACCUGAUAUUGCUUGUGUAGAUGAAC